UGAUUUGCAUCAGCAGCUCCAUGCUCCAGCGCUCUGGGAGAGUUUAUAGUCCUGACAGUUGAACACUGGAUGACUGACAGCUGUCCUUCAUCACAGCAGGAGACACAGAAAUCCUCCUCAUCAUCAGAAGCAUGACUCUGAUCUGCGUCCUCAUCUGGACUCUCCUCUGCUUCACUCAGGGAUCUGAUGGACAAAAUGUUGUUGUGACUCAAUCAGCAGCCAAAUCAGUGCAGCUUGGUCAGACGGUCACUAUUGACUGUAAGGCCAGUAGACAACUAACUGGUUGUAGCACACCCUGCCUGUCCUGGUACCAUCAUAAACCUGGAGAAGCUCCUAAAGCUCUGAUCUACUACACAUCAUCCAGAUUUUCAGGAAUCUCCUCCAGAUUCAGUGGAAGUGGAGCAGGAAAUGGAUUAGACUUCACUCUGACCAUCAGUGGAGUUCAGGCUGAAGAUGCAGGAGUUUAUUACUGUCAGAGUUAUCAUAGUGGCCCCGUGUUCACACAAAAUGUUGUUGUGACUCAAUCAGCAGCCAAAUCAGUGCAGCUUGGUCAGACGGUCACUAUUGACUGUAAGGCCAGUCGGGCACUUUCAACAUCUGAGUGUAGCUACUCUUCAAGAGUCUGCCUGUCCUGGUACCACCAGAAACCUGGAGAAGCUCCUAAAGCUUUGAUAUAUGGAACAUCAUCCAGAUUUUCAGGAAUCUCCUCCAGAUUCAGUGGAAGUGGAGCAGGAAAUGGAUUAGACUUCACUCUGACCAUCAGUGGAGUUCAGGCUGAAGAUGCAGGAGUUUAUUACUGUCAGAGUGCUCAUGUCAUCAACAGUCAGUGGGUGUUCACACAGUGAAAAAUCAUCGUACAA
Molecule: non-coding RNA, 860 nt
Organism: Poecilia latipinna (sailfin molly)
Lineage: Eukaryota; Metazoa; Chordata; Actinopteri; Cyprinodontiformes; Poeciliidae
Source: the annotation of a RefSeq genome assembly